Molecule: non-coding RNA, 90 nt
Organism: Colletotrichum godetiae
Lineage: Eukaryota; Fungi; Ascomycota; Sordariomycetes; Glomerellales; Glomerellaceae
Source: the annotation of a RefSeq genome assembly
GGCCUGCUGGCGAAAUGGCAUCGCGUCACAUUUCGGCUUUCUCUCUUAGUCAUACUGUGAAGAUUGUAGGUUCGAUCCCUACGUAGGUCG